AGAGUUUGAUCAUGGCUCAGAUUGAACGCUGGCGGCAUGCCUUACACAUGCAAGUCGAACGGUAACAGGUCUUCGGAUGCUGACGAGUGGCGAACGGGUGAGUAAUACAUCGGAACGUGCCCGAUCGUGGGGGAUAACGGAGCGAAAGCUUUGCUAAUACCGCAUACGAUCUACGGAUGAAAGCAGGGGACCGCAAGGCCUUGCGCGGACGGAGCGGCCGAUGGCAGAUUAGGUAGUUGGUGGGAUAAAAGCUUACCAAGCCGACGAUCUGUAGCUGGUCUGAGAGGACGACCAGCCACACUGGGACUGAGACACGGCCCAGACUCCUACGGGAGGCAGCAGUGGGGAAUUUUGGACAAUGGGCGAAAGCCUGAUCCAGCCAUGCCGCGUGCAGGAUGAAGGCCUUCGGGUUGUAAACUGCUUUUGUACGGAACGAAAAGACUCCUUCUAAUAAAGGGGGUUCAUGACGGUACCGUAAGAAUAAGCACCGGCUAACUACGUGCCAGCAGCCGCGGUAAUACGUAGGGUGCAAGCGUUAAUCGGAAUUACUGG
This 552-nucleotide ribosomal RNA is filed under the name uncultured bacterium. RNAcentral describes it as "bacterial SSU rRNA". It matches the Rfam family "Bacterial small subunit ribosomal RNA", at positions 8 to 557 of the family's 1533-position model. The record is from RNAcentral.